RNAcentral lists this long non-coding RNA (212 nucleotides) under Phoenix dactylifera (date palm). Its description in RNAcentral is "long non-coding RNA (PDAC_LNC001460)". Lineage: Eukaryota; Viridiplantae; Streptophyta; Magnoliopsida; Arecales; Arecaceae. The record is from RNAcentral.
CUGGCACGUCCGCGGGCGACCAGGCGAAGACGUCAGCGUUGUCCCGCAGGAAGCUGACGAGGCAAUCCCUCUCGCGGGCGCCGAGGCCGGAGCCGACCUGCACAGUUAGCUCGGGAAAAUUUUCUUGUAGUGGGAUUUGAAUAAGGAGCUCACCGGGCUCUACUUGCUUCUUCCAGAGGGUGUCCCUCGCAUCGAGGGUUUCUAUGGGCAGC